This 578-nucleotide ribosomal RNA is filed under the name uncultured bacterium. RNAcentral's name for it is "bacterial SSU rRNA". It matches the Rfam family "Bacterial small subunit ribosomal RNA", at positions 338 to 916 of the family's 1533-position model. The record is from RNAcentral.
CCUACGGGAGGCAGCAGUAAGGAAUAUUGGACAAUGGGCGCAAGCCUGAUCCAGCCAUGCCGCGUGAAGGAUUAAGGUCCUCUGGAUUGUAAACUUCUUUUAUAGGGGACGAAAAAAGGGCAUUCUUGCUCACUUGACGGUACCCUAUGAAUAAGCACCGGCUAACUCCGUGCCAGCAGCCGCGGUAAUACGGAGGGUGCAAGCGUUAUCCGGAUUCACUGGGUUUAAAGGGUGCGUAGGCGGGCAGUUAAGUCAGUGGUGAAAUCUCCGAGCUCAACUCGGAAACUGCCAUUGAUACUAUCUGUCUUGAAUAUUGUGGAGGUAAGCGGAAUAUGUCAUGUAGCGGUGAAAUGCUUAGAUAUGACAUAGAACACCUAUUGCGAAGGCAGCUUACUACGCAUAUAUUGACGCUGAGGCACGAAAGCGUGGGGAUCAAACAGGAUUAGAUACCCUGGUAGUCCACGCCCUAAACGAUGGAUACUCGACAUACGCGAUACACUGUGUGUGUCUGAGCGAAAGCAUUAAGUAUCCCACCUGGAAGUACGUCCGCAAGGAUGAAACUUAAAGGAAAUUGACGG